UACGGGGGGGGCAAGCGUUGUUCGGAAUUACUGGGCGUAAAGGGCUCGUAGGCGGCCAACUAAGUCAUACGUGAAAUCCCUCGGCUUAACCGGGGAACUGCGUCUGAUACUGGAUGGCUUGAGUUCGGGAGAGGGAUGCGGAAUUCCAGGUGUAGCGGUGAAAUGCGUAGAUAUCUGGAGGAACACCGGUGGCGAAGGCAGCAUCCUGGACCGAUACUGACGCUGAUGAGCGAAAGCCAGGGGAGCAAACGGG
Molecule: ribosomal RNA, 253 nt
Filed under: uncultured bacterium
Lineage: Bacteria
Description: partial 16S ribosomal RNA
Rfam family: Bacterial small subunit ribosomal RNA
Source: RNAcentral